Oreochromis niloticus (Nile tilapia) is the source of this 312-nucleotide long non-coding RNA. RefSeq lists it as uncharacterized. The transcript is spliced from 3 exons. NCBI's taxonomy places the organism in Eukaryota, Metazoa, Chordata, Actinopteri, Cichliformes, Cichlidae. The record is from RefSeq and is a predicted model, not a curated record.
UCUCAGCUCACAUUUCACAUUGUGGUGGGAAACGCAAGAAGGUUAGGAUUCCUACGUUUCAAGAAGCCAAGAUGGAGACAUCUUCACGAUGACCACUGUGCAGUAGCACAACUGAACCAGGACUGGAAACCUGCCCCAUCAUCUCAUCCUUGCAGAUCUCCAUUAAAAACGUAACAGUGACUCAGAGGAGUUGCCCUCAGAUUCAGACCUCAGCAUCACCCAGUGACAACAGACUAUCAUCUUAUAUGUUCACUCUUUGUAGUAACUCCAAAAUUAAACGAUGAAAACGGUGCAAAGGCUAAAUUACUAUAU